GACGAACGCUGGCGGCGUGCUUAACACAUGCAAGUCGAACGGAAAGGCCCUGCUUUUGUGGGGUGCUCGCGUGGCGAACGGGUGAGUAACACGUGAGUAACCUGCCCUUGACUUUGGGAUAACUUCAGGAAACUGGUGCUAAUACCGGCUAGGAGCUCCUGCUGCAUGGUGGGCGUUGGAAAGUUUCGGCGGUUGGGGAUCGACUCGCGGCUUAUCAGCUUGUUGGUGGGGUAGUGGCUUACCAAGGGUUUGACGGGUAGCCGGCCUGAGAGGGUGACCGGCCACAUUGGGACUGAGAGACGGCCCAGACUCCUAUGGGAGGCAGCAGUGGGGAAUAUUGCACAAUGGGCGGAAGUCUGAUGCAGCAACGCCGCGUGUGGGAUGCAGGCCUUCGGGUUGUAAACCGCUUUAGCCUGUGACGAAGCGUGAGUGACGGUAAUGGGUAAAGAAGCACCGGCUAACUACGUG
Molecule: ribosomal RNA, 468 nt
Filed under: uncultured bacterium
Lineage: Bacteria
Description: partial 16S ribosomal RNA
Rfam family: Bacterial small subunit ribosomal RNA
Source: RNAcentral